GGAGAGGUGUCCGAGUGGUCGAAGGUGAUUGACUCGAAAUCAAUUAUGCCGCAAGGCAUCGGGGGUUCGAAUCCCUCCCUCUCCGCCA
This 88-nucleotide transfer RNA is filed under the name Deltaproteobacteria bacterium. Its description in RNAcentral is "tRNA-Ser". It matches the Rfam family "tRNA". Rfam says of the family: Transfer RNA (tRNA) molecules are approximately 80 nucleotides in length. Their secondary structure includes four short double-helical elements and three loops (D, anti-codon, and T loops). Further hydrogen bonds mediate the characteristic L-shaped molecular structure. tRNAs have two regions of fundamental functional importance: the anti-codon, which is responsible for specific mRNA codon recognition, and the 3' end, to which the tRNAs corresponding amino acid is attached (by aminoacyl-tRNA synthetases). tRNAs cope with the degeneracy of the genetic code in two manners: having more than one tRNA (with a specific anti-codon) for a particular amino acid; and 'wobble' base-pairing, i.e. permitting non-standard base-pairing at the 3rd anti-codon position. Lineage: Bacteria; Pseudomonadati; Myxococcota; Myxococcia. The record is from RNAcentral.